CUUGUAAGAGACCAGGGCUGGGAGAGAAGGGGCUGAGUGACCUCCCCUAACCUGCCAAACAUGAGCUGAGAGACCGGGUCAUGGGAGAACUUAACGGCCAAACAACCUGAGUCAGAUCAUUUGUCCAGAAAGACAGCAAGAAAGAGAAAGAUCCCCUGGCAGAACCAGGGGAAAGAGGGACUGGAAGCUGAGGAUGUCUUACCAUGAAAUGGGAGAACUGGAGAAAGAGAGUAAGGACACCAAGGUUUUUAAUUGAUUAAGACAAAACCUGAUAAGGUGAAACUUUUCUUGAAAGAGGCAUAACUUCCAAAUACAAAAAGACAUGGUCUCAUUCCGUAGCCCCGGGAUAGAGCACAGCUGUGCAAUCACAACUCACUGCAGCCUAGAGUUUCCAGGCUCAAGCCCCCGGCUCAGCCUCCCAUGUAUCUGGGACUACAGGUGCCCAUGCAGGAGGGAGGAGAAAUUGACCCAGGCAAUGGAUAGGCUGGAGCAGAAUGCCUUAGAAGCUGAGACUCAAGAAGGUCCACCACCCCUGGAAGUUCCAUCAACUUUAAAAAAUAAAGUGUGAGUGCCUCUAGUGUUCAGCAUGUUCAUAUCUACGAUCUCACUAGAAGCCAUAAGAGCUGUAGCAACCAACACGCCAGGUACCCAUUUUUCAGAAGAGGAGGCUGAGGCUUAGCCUGCUAGAUCUGUGCCCUCUCGGUAGAGGGCAGGGGCUGAAAUGCAAGUCUUUUCACACCACCUCUUGUACUUUCCCACGAAUCGUGCCAACUCCCAUACUCUGGCCCCCUUCAAUUGAAGGUCACCUUUCCUUCUAUUUAACUUUUUCUGAUUCUCUGCAUUUUCUUCCCUUUUUCUGAUUUCUCAGCUCUUGGAUAGUAAGACUAUAUUUUCAGUAGUAGCCAACAGGCUAGUGAAUAAAUGAAUAUUCACUAUUUUCAUUAGUGAAUAAAUGAAUAUACAAAAUACAAUCAGAACCUUAGAGAAUGGGAACCAGGUAGGACUGUAAACACAUGCAGAGAAACACCCAUCAUAGGGAAGGCUGAUUUUGAGUCUAGACCCUGGUCAUCUCACAGUGAACUAAUGGUACUUAAACAGAACCCUGGCUCCUAUGCCAUGCAGUGUGAAGUUGUAUCCUUUACUGUCUCAGGAAAUAUUUAGGGAAGAAGAGUGUUAUCAAGAAAGAACCAUUGAGAAACAACCUAUAUGACCAUACAGGGAAUUCAGCAGGUAAAUGGUGGUGUAGCCAAAUGAUAGAAUUCUUUGUAGAUCUUAAAUAUGAGUUUGUGGCCAGCACAGUGGCUUAUGCAUGUAAUCCCAGCACUUUGGGAGGCUGAGGCAGGAGAAGCACUUGAGGCCAGGAAUUUGAGACCAGCCUGGGCUAUAUAACGAGACCACAUCUCUACAAAAAAAAAAAAAUUAAAAAUUAGCCAGGUACAAUUGCACAUGCCUAUAGUCCCAGCUAUUUGGGGAUUGAGCUCAGGAGAUUGAGGUUGCAGUGAGCCAUGAUCAUAUCACUGUACUCCAGCCUGGGCAAAAGAGUGAGAUCCUGUCUCAAAAAAAGAUGAGUUUGCAUGAGAAUAUUUCAUGCCAUGGAAAAUCUUCAUGACAUAGUGAAAAAAUAGAUUAUAAAAUAUUAUGUGCUGUAUGAUCUUGGUUUUUUGUCUUAAUGUUUGUCCUUGCCCAGA
Callithrix jacchus (white-tufted-ear marmoset) is the source of this 1688-nucleotide long non-coding RNA. RefSeq lists it as uncharacterized. The record is from RefSeq and is a predicted model, not a curated record. Lineage: Eukaryota; Metazoa; Chordata; Mammalia; Primates; Cebidae.